AAUUCCUACGACAGCGCGUGUAAGNCAUCAAACACUGGUNCANNUGGUUUAAAGAUCUCACACUAGGCCCGGGUCGUUUACACGCCUAAUCAUCAAUGCNAUGUCGACACGAGCAAGNCACAAGGACGANNCUAGCGUCUCUGGUGUGGCUGAAGCUGGUCGAGAUCGGGUGACUGGACAUAUCAUCGGAAUCAUACUCCUAGUCAGUGGGAGGAUAACAGUAAGGAAAUNCAUUAUCAGCAAACAUACAUCGCUAUACGAACUCUAACGGGGUGAAAGUACAGGGUGACNCAAAUUCAAGANCACAAUNAAGUCCGAAAU
This 321-nucleotide ribosomal RNA is filed under the name uncultured bacterium. RNAcentral describes it as "partial 16S ribosomal RNA". The record is from RNAcentral.